UACGGAGGGAGCUAGCGUUGUUCGGAAUUACUGGGCGUAAAGCGCACGUAGGCGGCUUUGCAAGUUAGAGGUGAAAGCCCAGGGCUCAACUCCGGAAUUGCCUUUAAAACUGCAUCGCUAGAGUUGUGGAGAGGUAAGUGGAAUUCCGAAUGUAGAGGUGAAAUUCGUAGAUAUUCGGAAGAACACCAGUGGCGAAGGCGACUUACUGGACACAUAUUGACGCUGAGGUGCGAAAGCGUGGGGAGCGAACAGG
This 253-nucleotide ribosomal RNA is filed under the name uncultured bacterium. RNAcentral describes it as "partial 16S ribosomal RNA". It matches the Rfam family "Bacterial small subunit ribosomal RNA", at positions 524 to 776 of the family's 1533-position model. The record is from RNAcentral.